RNAcentral lists this ribosomal RNA (490 nucleotides) under uncultured bacterium. RNAcentral describes it as "partial 16S ribosomal RNA". It matches the Rfam family "Bacterial small subunit ribosomal RNA", at positions 30 to 507 of the family's 1533-position model. The record is from RNAcentral.
AUUGAACGCUGGCGGCAGGCCUAACACAUGCAAGUCGAAUGGUAACAGGAAACAGCUUGCUGUUUCGCUGACGAGUGGCGGACGGGUGAGUAAUGUCUGGGAAACUGCCUGAUGGAGGGGGAUAACUACUGGAAACGGUAGCUAAUACCGCAUAACGUCGCAAGACCAAAGAGGGGGACCUUCGGGCCUCUUGCCAUCAGAUGUGCCCAGAUGGGAUUAGCUAGUAGGUGGGGUAACGGCUCACCUAGGCGACGAUCCCUAGCUGGUCUGAGAGGAUGACCAGCCACACUGGAACUGAGACACGGUCCAGACUCCUACGGGAGGCAGCAGUGGGGAAUAUUGCACAAUGGGCGCAAGCCUGAUGCAGCCAUGCCGCGUGUAUGAAGAAGGCCUUCGGGUUGUAAAGUACUUUCAGCGGGGAGGAAGGGGGUAAAGUUAAUACCUUUGCUCAUUGACGUUACCCGCAGAAGAAGCACCGGCUAACUCCGUG